AGAGUUUGAUCCUGGCUCAGGAUGAACGCUGGCGGCGUGCCUAAUACAUGCAAGUCGAACGCUUUGUCUUUAAUUGAUAUGAAGAGCUUGCUCUGAUUUGAUUUUAUCUGACAAAGAGUGGCGAACGGGUGAGUAACACGUGGGUAACCUACCUCUUAGCAGGGGAUAACAUUUGGAAACAAGUGCUAAUACCGUAUAACACUAACAACCGCAUGGUUGUUAGUUGAAAGAUGGUUCUGCUAUCACUAAGAGAUGGACCCGCGGUGCAUUAGCUAGUUGGUAAGGUAAUGGCUUACCAAGGCGAUGAUGCGUAGCCGAGUUGAGAGACUGAUCGGCCACAAUGGGACUGAGACACGGCCCAUACUCCUACGGGAGGCAGCAGUAGGGAAUCUUCCACAAUGGGCGCAAGCCUGAUGGAGCAACGCCGCGUGUGUGAUGAAGGGUUUCGGCUCGUAAAACACUGUUAUAAGAGAAGAACGACAUUGAGAGUAACUGUUCAGUGUGUGACGGUAUCUUAUCAGAAAGGAACGGCUAAAUACGUGCCAGCAGCCGCGGUAAUACGUAUGUUCCAAGCGUUAUCCGGAUUUAUUGGGCGUAAAGCGAGCGCAGACGGUUAUUUAAGUCUGAAGUGAAAGCCCUCAGCUCAACUGAGGAAGGGCUUUGGAAACUGGAUAACUUGAGUGCAGUAGAGGAAAGUGGAACUCCAUGUGUAGCGGUGAAAUGCGUAGAUAUAUGGAAGAACACCGGUGGCGAAAGCGGCUUUCUGGACUGUAACUGACGUUGAGGCUCGAAAGUGUGGGUAGCAAACAGGAUUAGAUACCCUGGUAGUCCCACACCGUAAACGAUGAGUGCUAGAUGUUCGAGGGUUUCCGCCCUUGAGUGUCGCAGCU
RNAcentral lists this ribosomal RNA (890 nucleotides) under uncultured bacterium. RNAcentral's name for it is "bacterial SSU rRNA". It matches the Rfam family "Bacterial small subunit ribosomal RNA", at positions 8 to 853 of the family's 1533-position model. The record is from RNAcentral.